RNAcentral lists this long non-coding RNA (1433 nucleotides) under Populus trichocarpa (black cottonwood). Its description in RNAcentral is "long non-coding RNA (PTRI_LNC001571)". Lineage: Eukaryota; Viridiplantae; Streptophyta; Magnoliopsida; Malpighiales; Salicaceae. The record is from RNAcentral.
AACCUCUGUCCAAAAACUUUCAGUCUCUUUAUCUAUGUCCUUCAUGCCGACGUAGGUAACACCUCUCAGUUGUCAAAGAGCAAUCAUCAGGGUGCUUUUGAUUACAACACUCAUAAUAUAGGAAUGUAGACAUCCCAUGUAUUACAGUUCCAACAGAACCCCCUGCCUGACUAGCCUUGGGAUGAGACUGUCCUCCCAAGAACCCUCCUCCACCAGACUAAGGGGGUCUACUAGGAGCUCCUUUAGGCAAGAUAUUUCCUCUACUCCUAAACGACCGGUUAGGCCCCUGUUCACCGCCUCCUCCCUUUUCAAGGAGAGGUUGCCUACUAAAUUGUGAUCUAGGUUCUCUUUUCUUUUCUAGAAAUUAUAGGCCCUGUUCUAUUUUGCCUUGCCACCCUUCUUCUAAAACUGACUCUAUAAACCGAGUAGCCUCUACCAGUUCCCAAACUAUCUUGGGUAAAGGAUUACUAACCCUUUUCUAAGCUCAUGUCUGAGACCAUCCCUCAAUCUCUUAAUCCGAUGCUGCUCAGUGGGAACUAAUGUAAAAGCAAAGAUUAAAGAUCCUGAAACUGUCUCUUAUACUCUGAUACUAUCAUACUCCCUUGUUUAAGGGCAAGAAACUCAUGUUCCUUACUCCUCUUAUAAUGUCUAAAGUAAUACCUGGUCUCAAACUUUGUCAAAAAAUCUAUCCAAGAUAAUACUCCCUCUGCUCUUCUCUCUCUCAUAGUCGCCCACCAUGUUUGAGUACUAUUUGACAGUAAUUAUGCCACACAAUUUACUCACACUCUCUCUGGUGCUGGAAUUUGAGCAAGUGACUCUUCCAUUUUCUAAAACCAAUGCCCAACUAUUUCAGCAUCUUCCUUUUAUAGAUAUGGAACACACCCCAUCUCCCUCAUAUUUUUUACCUAAUGCACUAAAGUGAGGGUAUCAUCUCUACCUGCAGUACCGGCUACUCUUAUCAUACUAGAAAUAACAGCCCUCACAAUAUACUCUAAAUAUGCAGUAUCCUGAUAUGAUAUAAGUGCCCCUAGGAGCACCAUAGAUGGGAGUCUACUGGAUUAUCCUAUCCUGUUGGACGCCUUUAUACGAUGGCAUCCUCGAUGAAAAUGGUAGAGAGAUAACUCCGGGCAUAGAUGAUUCUCUUUGAACUGACCAUAAUGGCACAACCGGUGAAUGUGAUGCAAUAUCUCCUAAAGGAUCUCUCAUCUGAUCCCCUCCAUUAUCAAUGGAUCGAUCCCUACUUUAAACAGAAGAUGGAUCGGUCUGAGUCCCCUUACCAUCCUAAAAUAAAUAUUAAUUUCUCAUUAGUUCAUCUGCUUUUAACUUCACAAGUGUAUUGGAUUAUGUCUAGAUGCUUUGAUACCAACUAUAAUAUCUUAACCUUUAAAUGUAUUUCUCAAAUUUAACAAUGUCAUAUAUAUGACAAUAGGGGU